Molecule: long non-coding RNA, 2365 nt
Organism: Odocoileus virginianus texanus
Lineage: Eukaryota; Metazoa; Chordata; Mammalia; Artiodactyla; Cervidae
Source: RefSeq, a predicted model, not a curated record
GCUGAGGGUGGUAAGGGUGGGGAAGCUUUCCAAGGCGCACUCCUAUCUCGCUGGCUCAGGAGCCACAAAGUUCUCUCUGGUGGCGCCGGGGGGCGAUGUGGAGCAUCUCAUAGCGCGCCUACGCCCCCGAGGCUCAUGGGCGUUGUAGUUCCCAGGGCUGCGAGCUGUGCUGGCACGUAUCGUGGGAAGGCGAGGCCAGGUCCGGAGGGACGGUCCAGGCCUUCUUGAAGCAGAGGCAGCGGCCCCGGCGUGGAUGACUCCGGAACGUCUUGGCCCCGAACCAUCUGGAGUCCAGUCCGACCCGCCGGGCGGGUCUGGCGACAGAUCUGGCGGCCUUAUGUCGCAGCUGGAGAUAACAGAAUUUACAUGGGAGUCUUGAUUUGCAGAUAACAGAAUUUACAUGGGCUGGUUGGAAAAGAGGGGAUUUGUGUCAAGGUGGUAGGCAGCUUACAGAAUUGUGGAGUGGGCUGGAGAAAUGGAUCCUAAGCCAUAGGUCUGAUCUGACCUGAUAAGAAAACUGCUUCUACCGCCACUGCCACCAGACACUAAAUGCCAGGACUUAGACUUGUCUGCAACAGCAACUGCUCAUGGUCCUGAAGCUACUUCUACAUCAAGAAAGUGAUCUUUGGGACUUCCUGGUGGCCCAGUGGUUAAGAAUCUGACUUCCAGUGCAGGGGACUUGAGUUCAGUCCCUGGUUGGGGAACUAAGAUCCUACAUGCCGCAGGGCAACUGGGCCCAUGUGCUACAACUACUGAGCCAGUGGAGUGCUCUGGAACCUGUAAGCCACAACAAGGAUCCCACGUGCCACAACUAAGACCCGACACAGCCAUAAAUGAAUAAAUACUUUAAAAAGAAGAAGGAGACACCGAGGAGACAGACCACCUUCUGACUCUGGGAGUUGUUGUUCAGGAUGGGAAGCCUGGAACUACCAUGCCCAUGAUGCUCCCCAUCCAUGGUGAAGCCAAAAUCCAGAAGUGGGCAAAGGGAAGAGGAUCUUAGAAGCCUGGACUCUACAUAGUGUGAGAUGCCAAGUGUCUUUAUUGUUUAAGCCAGAUGGUGUCAGAGUUGUCUGUUACUUGCAACCAAAUAUACCCUAACAGAUAAGUCUGCCUUACAGCACUUGGAUGUAUUUCUUGGUGUCACUUGUCUGAGACUAAGUGACUUGAGUAGGGUGAGAACUGGGCUUCUUUUAUUUCCAUAUACUCUGUGCCUGGCCACAGCAGGCCUGUGUGAAUGUCUGCAGUUGACCUGUUCAUGAGCCUUCCAAAUUGAAGGGUGCUAUGAACCUAACAUAUCCCAAACAGGACACUCUGUUUCUCCCACACUCUCCUUACACAUCUGAAUAAAUGGCACCACCUUUGUCCUUUCCACCCAUCCCCACAUCUAUCCAUUACCCAGUCCCACUGGCUCUCUCUCCAAAAUAAAUCUCAAUGUGACCGCUUCUCUCUCUCCACUGUCAACACUGUGGUUCAAACUGGGAUCAUCUCUUGCCUAAGUUACCUCAUGACCUCUCCAGUGGGUCCUCCAACUUCUGUCCUUAUUCCCAAUAUCUGUCAAAUCCAUCUUCCACACAACCAGAUCAGUCUUUAAAAUGUGAAUCGGAAAUGAAUCCUCCCUCAAUGACUCCUUAGUACACAUGGAAUAAAAUCCAGCCUCCGACUUUAAAUGGAUGAAUUGUAUGGCACGUAAUUUAUAUCUCAGUAAACCUAUUAUUAAAAAAAAAAAAAAAUCCGAUGUCCUCCCUGUGGCCUGUGAUCUGGCAUGGGCAUGAUCUAGCCCCUGCCCACCUCUCUGAUCCCCAUCUGGUACUUUCCUCUCACUCUCUCCAGCCACACUGGGCAUCCUUCUGUUCCACAAACACCCCACGAUUGCUUUUACCUCAGGGUCUUUGCAGAUGUGCUUCUGUCUUCCUGGAAUGUUCUUCCCUGGAGCUUUCCCCAUGGCUUGUUCCUUCUCAUCCUCCAACCUCACAUGUCACCUCUUCAGACACCCUCUUACCAAUAGCCUGCUUAUUUUCUUCAGAGCACCUAAAUAUCCAAAAUUAUCUUAGUAGUUUGCUUGUUUGUUGGGUUUUGUUUUUUGUUAUUUUUUUCUCUCUCACCAGCUCAUGACACUAAGAGCUUAUUUUUCAUUUUAGGAAUAGUGCCUAACACUUAGGGCAAGAAACAUUUGUUGAAGGAAGAAUUUGCUGAAUCCUUUCAGUUGAUCAUUCAGUGAAGCAUUGUGUUGGGCUUAAGUUUUCCAGUGUUUUUCAGUGGAAAGCAAAUUUUGUAUUCACAUUCAUCUAAAAAAUACAAGUGAGUCACUGUAACUUCGGGGGCCUCUGCUUUAUAAAAUGGGGGUGAGUGAAGAGGUUAAACUUUA